AUUUAUUUGGAAGGUAGACUGGCGAGCCGGAGGCGAUGCCCAUUGCCGGGCCUCUGCCUGAACCCUCGCCCAUCCUUUCCCGUGCCGUCGAUGGCUGCUCGAACCUCAAUUCCGUCGGAGAAAUGAAGCUAUUGCAGUGGGAACUAGUGGUGUGGUACAAUGGGAAAGCCCCAUGGCUGCAUAUUAAUUCCAGGCAGGUUCAUUGAGGAGGAUGGAAAGGAAGCCCAUGCUGCUGGUGCUGGACAAGUCUUGGGGGACUGGGGCAGGUAGAACCAGCAGCAGUUGGGGCACAAAUGCAAGGAUAACUUGGUGAGCAUAACAGCUAAAAGAUUGUUUCAAGUGGGAGCUGUCAAAAACAAAUCAGUUGAUGUUUAAUCUUUUGAUAUGUGAAGUGCAUCUCUCCUAUCCUCUUUCAUAUAGCUCUGUGUUUUCCAAUCUAAAUUAUAAUCGAAUGAUUAGUUCCUUCUCUACUCUCAUUAUCCAAGCACUGUAUUACCUAACAUGAUUGUACUUUUUCUAUGCUUAUGCAACAUGAAGUAAAUGCCUCCCACUAAAACCAUGGAUAUUUUU
This is a long non-coding RNA of Musa acuminata subsp. malaccensis (wild Malaysian banana), 570 nucleotides long. RefSeq lists it as uncharacterized. The record is from RefSeq and is a predicted model, not a curated record. Lineage: Eukaryota; Viridiplantae; Streptophyta; Magnoliopsida; Zingiberales; Musaceae.